AGUGAGGGAGAGUGAACUCAGGACUGUAGGAAAGUAAGUUACAGGAAGGGCUUGGCAGAUGGGUCAGGGAACCUGGUGAUUUGGACUUGGCAACUCGGCCUCAGUCAGACUCUUGCUGGGGCCAGUGCAGUCCCAUCUUGUGUUUAACCUACUUUGAGUUUGUUUCUGUCCCCUGCCCACAGGAGAGUCCUGACCAAUUCUCCAGGCUUAUAUAUACUUCUUCAUUUGAUUGCCUUCAAAAUGGUGGGGCUCAAGAAGACCAAAUCAUCUGCCCAAAGCCAUACAACUGGGAGAGAUGGCCCAUGCCCAGGAAGCUGCCCUGGACUCCCACAGACCCUGGACAAUGGGCAGGAAUGUUACUGUACAAGGAAUGGGGCUUCCUGACAUCCAAACUGUAGUGAUUGCUUUCCACGUGUGGGUCUAGCCACCCAGCGGAGCUACCAGACUCCGGGCUGGUACUGGGGAGUGUCGGCAAAGAGUCCUGUGAUGUGAUCCAUCUUCAGGUCUUCAGCCACGGAUACCAGCAUCUGCUCCAGUGGAGGUAGCAGGGGAGUAAAGUGGACUCUGUGAGGGUCAUUGGCUGUGUUUUUGUUUAACGCACUGGUUUUGUGUUGGUUGGCCUCCACCCAGGAGGUGGUGCUUUCAAGAGAACAUCAGCUGUGAUCCUAUAGGGAGAAUGCAAACUUGCCCUAGGGACACCUAGUUAGGUAUUCAGGUUUCUCAGGUGGUGGGCAGGGCCAUAGAGUCAUCAAGAGAUUAUGACCUUUGUCUUGGGCUACCAGGGUGGGUAGAGAAAGACCACGAGGUCAGGGUGGAGAUAGGCAUGUCUGGGCUCAAUCUCUCCUUGGGUAGGGCUUGCUGUGCUGCUGUGGGGGGUGGGGGUGUGGUUCCCAGUCUAAUGGUAUUGUAUUCCCAGGGGGAUUAUGGCUCCCUCUGCUGAGUCAUACAGGUCCCCAGGGACAUGCAGCCCAGAGUCCUAAAAGCCAGUCUCACUCUCCCUGUGUUCCCGCCACCCCCACCCCACCAAUUCACCAAGUUUACUUCCAGACAGCUGGUGACCAGGGCUGAGAACUUGCCCCAGAUCAUGAGCCUCCCUGUUGAGAAAGCAAGCCGACUCACAGUUUUUUGGUGUCUCAGGGAGCCUGCUGUGGUGAUCCAGUUCCUUCAAAAGGUCUGUGGAUUCUCUCAGCAUUCUUGGUAUGUUCCUGCAGUAGUUCUUGGCGCAAAAGUUCGUGAUGUGAUCUCCACACACUGCUCUGCCUCUCCAAGCGGGAGCUGCAAGCUAGUCCUGCCUCCUAUCUGCCAUCUUAAUCUAAAGUUCCAUGAUAGUAUUUUAAACCAAGUAUAUAAAUAAAUGAUAUAGAAAAAAGUAUACAACAAGACCAGGUUGCUUUUUCUCUCUCAAAAAACACGGUUGAUUUGGCAUUAGAAAAUUACUAAUAAAGUUCAGUACGUUAAUAGAAAAGAGAAGGGAAAUCACAUAAUCGUACUGACAGAUGUAGAAAAAUAUUUGAUAACAUUUAAUACCAGUUCAGAACUUAAGAAGAUUCAUAGCAAACUAAAAUAGAGGGAACUUCCUUAAUUUGAUAAAUACCUAUAAAAGAAAUCUACUGAAAACUCUAUAUUCAAUGGUAAAAUAUUGAACAGUUUCUUCCCAAGAUUGGGGUUGAAGAAGAAAUACUACUGAUCUAUUCACUAUUCAGCAUUGUAUUGGAGGGCCCAGCAUGUGCUAUAAAGGCA
Molecule: long non-coding RNA, 1740 nt
Filed under: Homo sapiens (human)
Lineage: Eukaryota; Metazoa; Chordata; Mammalia; Primates; Hominidae
Description: HSALNT0194348
Source: RNAcentral